Molecule: ribosomal RNA, 477 nt
Filed under: uncultured bacterium
Lineage: Bacteria
Description: partial 16S ribosomal RNA
Rfam family: Bacterial small subunit ribosomal RNA
Source: RNAcentral
AUGCACGCUAGCGGCAGGCCUAACACCUGCCAGUCGAGGGAGAAGCCCUUUCGGGGGCAGAAACCGGCGCACGGGUGCGUAACGCGUAUGCAACCUACCUUUCACAGGGGGAUAGCCCGAAGAAAUUUGGAUUAAUACCCCAUAAUAUUAUUGGAUGGCAUCAUUUGAUAAUUAAAACUGCGGUGGUGAAAGAUGGGCAUGCGUCCUAUUAGCUAGUUGGAGUGGUAACGGCACCCCAAGGCUACGAUAGGUAGGGGUCCUGAGAGGGAGAUCCCCCACACUGGUACUGAGACAGGGACCAGACGCCUACGGGAGGCAGCAGUGAGGAAUAUAGGGCAAUGGUCGGAAGACUGAACCAGCCAUGCCGCGUGCAGGAAGAAUGCCUUAUGGGUUGUAAACUGCUUUUAGAUGGGAAGAAUAAGGCGUACGUGUACGUUGAUGACGGUACCAUAUGAAUAAGCAUCGGCUAACUCCGUG